RNAcentral lists this ribosomal RNA (219 nucleotides) under uncultured bacterium. RNAcentral describes it as "partial 16S ribosomal RNA". It matches the Rfam family "Bacterial small subunit ribosomal RNA", at positions 298 to 526 of the family's 1533-position model. The record is from RNAcentral.
GCUCCCUCCGCCGCCCAUCAGACUCCUACGGAGGCAGCAGUAAGGAAUAUUGGUCAAUGGGCGGAAGGCCUGAACCAGCCAUGCCGCGUGCAGGAAGACGGCCUACGGGUGUAAACUGACUUUUGCUAGGGGAAUAAACCCCGGAUAACCGUGUAUCGGGCUGGAAUGUACUCUGAGAAUAAGGAUCGGCUAACUCCGUGCCAGCAGCCGCGGUAAUAC